UACGUAGGAUGCAAGCGUUGUCCGGAUUUACUGGGCGUAAAGCGCGCGCAGGCGGCUCUACAAGUAUGGCGUGAAAUCUCCCUGCUCAACGGGGAGGGUGCGUUGUAGACUGUAAGGCUUGAGGACGGUAGAGGGGGGUAGAAUUGCUGGUGUAGCGGUGAAAUGCGUAGAGAUCAGCAGGAAUACCCGUGGCGAAGGCGGCCCCCUGGGCCGUACCUGACGCUGAGGCGCGAAGGCUAGGGGAGCGACCCGG
This 253-nucleotide ribosomal RNA is filed under the name uncultured bacterium. RNAcentral describes it as "partial 16S ribosomal RNA". It matches the Rfam family "Bacterial small subunit ribosomal RNA", at positions 524 to 776 of the family's 1533-position model. The record is from RNAcentral.